CCUGGCGGCACUAGCGCGUGGUCCACCUGACCCAUGCCGAACUCAGAAGUGAACGCCGUAGCGCCGAUGGUAGUGUGGGGUCUCCCCAUGUGAGAGUAGGGAACUGCCAGGC
This 112-nucleotide ribosomal RNA is filed under the name Klebsiella pneumoniae. Lineage: Bacteria; Pseudomonadati; Pseudomonadota; Gammaproteobacteria; Enterobacterales; Enterobacteriaceae. The record is from RNAcentral.